AAUAUGAAUAAAAAGUGUAUAGGAAAGGCGUGACAUAUCAGUGAGUUAAGGACAAACAAGCGUGCGUGAAUGACAACUGGUAAGAGUAGUGGAAGUUAUUUAGUGACGUACAUGCGAGAAACAACAAAUAUAAUGAGGGUGUAAGAAAUGAGAGAGAAGAACGGAUAAAAUAAAUGAGGUAUGAGGGGGGGGGGAAUAAGUAGCAACGACAACACUUACACAACAUGGGAGUGAGGGACGAGAAUCAUAGAGAUGUAGGGCGAUGUUUAAGGGGAAAAAGAGACGAAGAGAGGCGAGCAAGCAGAGAAUACAAGAGAGGUGGAGAGAUUGCAAGAGAGUAGAACUUAAUGAGAGCAUUCCUGUGUUUUUAUUCGGGCCUUCAGAAGAUUUUGCUGAAUGGUUUUCAUUAGCCAGUCGACCAGAUAAAGGAAUAUAUUGAUGGUGCUGUCUUGGUGACCUGAUUGUGAUUGUGAUUGUGAUUCUGAUAAUGUUAAUGUGCUACGGAUAGUGUUACCUAUAUUGUUACUCUGGUCGUUAUUGUUCCAGUUAGUUAUUUUUAUGGUAAUUAAAAGAUAUACACGAAUAACUCAUCAACCUUAUCAUCUUAAUCAUCUUCUUAAAUGUGCCGUGGAGAGGAGAGUCAAAUAGUUGGUGACUGCUGUGUGCGCGUGUACCACCAACUCAUCGUCAUCUCAUCAACAUAUAAAUGUGAUUAGUGGUAUUUUGAAUGGUGGAGACGGUGAUAU
Molecule: long non-coding RNA, 746 nt
Organism: Patella vulgata (common limpet)
Lineage: Eukaryota; Metazoa; Mollusca; Gastropoda; Patellidae
Exons: 3
Source: RefSeq, a predicted model, not a curated record